Molecule: ribosomal RNA, 156 nt
Filed under: Convolvulus boissieri
Lineage: Eukaryota; Viridiplantae; Streptophyta; Magnoliopsida; Solanales; Convolvulaceae
Description: 5.8S ribosomal RNA
Rfam family: 5.8S ribosomal RNA
About the family: 5.8S ribosomal RNA (5.8S rRNA) is a component of the large subunit of the eukaryotic ribosome. It is transcribed by RNA polymerase I as part of the 45S precursor that also contains 18S and 28S rRNA. Functionally, it is thought that 5.8S rRNA may be involved in ribosome translocation.
Source: RNAcentral
GACUCUCGGCAACGGAUAUCUCGGCUCUCGCAUCGAUGAAGAACGUAGCGAAAUGCGAUACUUGGUGUGAAUUGCAGAAUCCCGUGAACCAUCGAGUCUUUGAACUCAAGUUGCGCCCGAAGCCGUCAGGCCGAGGGCACGUCUGCCUGGGCGUCA